GUGAGGAAUAUUGCGCAAUGGAGGCAACUCUGACGCAGCCAUGCCGCGUGCAGGAAGAAGGCGCUACGCGUUGUAAACUGCUUUUAACCGGGAAGAAACCCCAGGACGUGUCCUGGGUUGACGGUACCGGAGGAAUAAGCACCGGCUAACUUCGUGCCAGCAGCCGCGGUAAUACGAAGGGUGCAAGCGUUAUCCGGAUUCAUUGGGUUUAAAGGGUGCGUAGGCGGAGCGUUAAGUCAGGGGUGAAAUCCUGCAGCUUAACUGUAGACUUGCCAUUGAUACUGGCGCUCUUGAGUGCGCUUGAAGUGGGCGGAAUGUGCCGUGUAGCGGUGAAAUGCUUAGAUAUGGCACAGAACACCAAUUGCGAAGGCAGCUCACUAAGGCGAUACUGACGCUGAGGCACGAAAGCGUGGGGAUCGAACAGGAUUAGAAACCCUAGUAGUCC
Molecule: ribosomal RNA, 445 nt
Filed under: uncultured bacterium
Lineage: Bacteria
Description: bacterial SSU rRNA
Rfam family: Bacterial small subunit ribosomal RNA
Source: RNAcentral